GAUAGGGUCAGCUAAGUUAAGCUUUCGGGCCCAUACCCCGAACACGAUGGUUAAAGUCCCUCCCCUAUCA
This 70-nucleotide transfer RNA is filed under the name Rasbora daniconius (slender rasbora). Its description in RNAcentral is "tRNA-Met". It matches the Rfam family "tRNA". Rfam says of the family: Transfer RNA (tRNA) molecules are approximately 80 nucleotides in length. Lineage: Eukaryota; Metazoa; Chordata; Actinopteri; Cypriniformes; Danionidae. The record is from RNAcentral.